This 584-nucleotide ribosomal RNA is filed under the name Salmonella enterica subsp. enterica serovar Typhimurium. RNAcentral's name for it is "partial 23S ribosomal RNA". It matches the Rfam family "Bacterial large subunit ribosomal RNA", at positions 1 to 584 of the family's 2925-position model. Lineage: Bacteria; Pseudomonadati; Pseudomonadota; Gammaproteobacteria; Enterobacterales; Enterobacteriaceae. The record is from RNAcentral.
GGGUUGUGAGGUUAAGCGACUAAGCGUACACGGUGGAUGCCCUGGCAGUCAGAGGCGAUGAAGGGCGUGCUAAUCUGCGAUAAGCGCCGGUAAGGUGAUAUGAACCGUUAUAACCGGCGAUACCCGAAUGGGGAAACCCAGUGUGACUCGUCACACUAUCAUUAACUGAAUCCAUAGGUUAAUGAGGCGAACCGGGGGAACUGAAACAUCUAAGUACCCCGAGGAAAAGAAAUCAACCGAGAUUCCCCCAGUAGCGGCGAGCGAACGGGGAGGAGCCCAGAGCCUGAAUCAGCAUGUGUGUUAGUGGAAGCGUCUGGAAAGGCGCGCGAUACAGGGUGACAGCCCCGUACACAAAAGCGCAUGUGCUGUGAGCUCGAUGAGUAGGGCGGGACACGUGGUAUCCUGUCUGAAUAUGGGGGGACCAUCCUCCAAGGCUAAAUACUCCUGACUGACCGAUAGUGAACCAGUACCGUGAGGGAAAGGCGAAAAGAACCCCGGCGAGGGGAGUGAAAAAGAACCUGAAACCGUGUACGUACAAGCAGUGGGAGCCCCACCACUAAGCCAGUGGUGAACUCCACAUCCGC